AAUAGAUACCCGGGUAGUCCACGCCCUAAACGAUGCGAACUGGAUGUUGGGUUCAACUUGGAACCCAGUAUCGAAGCUAACGCGUUAAGUUCGCCGCCUGGGGAGUACGGUCGCAAGACUGAAACUCAAAGGAAUUGACGGGGGCCCGCACAAGCGGUGGAGUAUGUGGUUUAAUUCGAUGCAACGCGAAGAACCUUACCUGGUCUUGACAUCCACGGAACUUUCCAGAGAUGGAUUGGUGCCUUCGGGAACCGUGAGACAGGUGCUGCAUGGCUGCCGUCAGCUCGUGUCGUGAGAUGUUGGGUUAAGUCCCGCAACGAGCGCAACCCUUGUCCUUAGUUGCCAGCACGUAAUGGUGGGAACUCUAAGGAGACCGCCGGUGACAAACCGGAGGAAGGUGGGGAUGACGUCAAGUCAUCAUGGCCCUUACGACCAGGGCUACACACGUACUACAAUGGUGGGGACAGAGGGCCGCAAUCCCGCGAGGGUGAGCCAAUCCCAGAAACCCCCAUCUCAGUCCGGAUCGGAGUCUGCAACUCGACUCCGUGAA
This 550-nucleotide ribosomal RNA is filed under the name uncultured bacterium. RNAcentral's name for it is "bacterial SSU rRNA". It matches the Rfam family "Bacterial small subunit ribosomal RNA", at positions 777 to 1324 of the family's 1533-position model. The record is from RNAcentral.